UACAGAGGUCCCAAGCGUUGUUCGGAUUCAUUGGGCGUAAAGGGUGCGUAGGCGGCGCGGUAAGUCGGGUGUGAAAUCUCGGAGCUUAACUCGGAAAGGUCAACUGAUACUGUGCGGCUAGAGUGCAGAAGGGGCAACUGGAAUUCUCGGUGUAGCGGUGAAAUGCGUAGAUAUCGAGAGGAACACCUGCGGCGAAGGCGGGUUGCUGGGCUGACACUGACGCUGAUGCGCGAAAGCCAGGGGAGCGAACGGG
RNAcentral lists this ribosomal RNA (253 nucleotides) under uncultured bacterium. Its description in RNAcentral is "partial 16S ribosomal RNA". It matches the Rfam family "Bacterial small subunit ribosomal RNA", at positions 524 to 776 of the family's 1533-position model. The record is from RNAcentral.